Molecule: long non-coding RNA, 1112 nt
Organism: Dreissena polymorpha
Lineage: Eukaryota; Metazoa; Mollusca; Bivalvia; Myida; Dreissenidae
Exons: 5
Source: RefSeq, a predicted model, not a curated record
AAGUAACCGUUGCUUUGUUGAGCGACCUCUACUAAAAAUGGCGUGUCGUAAUUAGCCUACGCAUUGACAUUGUUCACCGUUUGUUUGCGAGUUCCUUUGGAAUAAAUUGUCAAUCAAUCCUGACAAUAAUUUCUUCAAUUGAAGGAUCGUAGUUAAAAUCAGGUUGGACCACACUACUUCAAGACUACGAAAAAAUGUGAAGUCUUUGGUGUUUGCUGUGAAGGUACUGGAAAACAGGUGUUUUACUUGGCGAAUGAGGGUGAAUCACCCGGGAAAGGCGCCAACACUGUUGUUAGCUAUGUACAUUACUAGCUUCAUCACUAUGGCCUAGGGGAGGAAGAGGCAGUUUUCUACUUUGACAAUUGCUGAACAAAAUAAGAACAACUGUGUACUUUAGUAUGCAUUGUGGAGAGUUAGUGUUGGGCUGCACACUCGAAUGAGAUACUCGAUGAUGGUGACUGCGGCCACAUCAAGUUCUAGCCUGAUUGGCAUUUUGGAUUAUGGAAGUCAAAGUACUUUGUGAUGCAGAGACCAUCGAAGCUGUUGCUGAGACUGUAUCUACCUCCUCAAGGUCUGGACUUGAUGUGCCGCACAUGAUUGGUGAUUAUGAGAAGCCUGUGCACCUAUACAAUUGGAAAACUUUUCUUGCCCAGUUGUUCAUACACUUGAAGAACAUUUGAAAGUACCAACAUUUCCUCAUUGAUGCUGCUAAACCAGGCUUGGUAUUUUGUAAAACAAGUGAAAAAUCUACAGUUGAAACUCAUUGUUGUUAAACUUUAAAGAGUGCUGACCUCUUAGCAUCAAUGUCUAGCCAGUCUUGCCCAGCCUGAAUGAAAUUACCUUGACUCAGUAUCGCCUGACAAUGGUACCUUUAUGAGGAAAUAGGGCAGUUUUUUUUAAUCAGACCUCAGUAGACAAGCUACCUGUCCCAAGCCGAAGUAAAAAAAACAAAAACUGUCUGUGUAACUCAGAAGUUGCAAAAAACAUGUGCCCUGUCCUAUCCUUGUUUGUUUUAAGGUUGAAAAUUGUAUGAUCCUGUUUGUUAAAUAGCCUUACAUUAUUUGUUUUGAUUACCAAGUUAUAUGUUAUUGUUUACCAUAUAAACUGUUCAU